ACAGAGGUUUUGUUCAGUUCACUACUGGAUUCCUAAUACUUGGAACAGUGCCUGGACAGAGUAGGUGCUUAAAACUUAUUUUUGAGUCAAUGGAUAAUUGACAUGGCUGGUUUGAACUUCUGGAUCUUUUGCUUUGCUUUCACACAAGGAUUACUUAUACCAAUACUUUAUUUUAAAAUCUCUGGAAAUGAGACCAUCUGAAAUCAGAUAAAUAUGGCUUCAGAUACCAGCUCUGGCACUACUAGUUGCAUGAUCAUCAAUAUGUUACUUCUCUGUGCCUUAGUUUCCACAUCUGAAAAUUGAGGGUAAGAGUCCCUCUCUAGAUUUGUGAAUGGGAUGAACACAGGAUUUUAAGUACGGUUAGCCAGCAUCCAAGAUGGCCUCAAUGAUCUCUGCCUCUGGUAUUUAUGCCCUUGAGUAAUCCCAUUCCACAUGUCUCGGGUUGGUCUGUGUGUCUUAUAGAAUAUGGCUUGAAGUGAGGUUAUGUGGCUUCUGAAGCUAUCACAAUGUCAUAAAGGACACUGUGACUUCUGUCUUGCUCCAUUUCUGGGGUCACUUGCACUAGAGGAAGUCAGCUACUAAAUUACAAAGAAAUUCCAGCAACCACAAGGAGAGGUCCACAAAGUGAGAGAUUGAACCCUCGAGCUAACAAGCAUGUGAGUGAGACAUGUUGGAAGUGGAUUCUCCAGCUCCAGUCAAGCCUUCAGAUGAAUGCAGCUCCAGCCAACAUCUCACUGCAGCUUUAUGAGAGCCUCUGAGCUGGAGCCACUAGGCCAAGCUGUUCCCAAAUUCCUGACUCUCAGAAACUUGUGCAUAGGAAGAAUCUGGGGACCUUGUGGAAAGUGCAGCUCCCAGACACCUGCCUCAACUGACUCUGUGGAUGUGGAGCGGGCCCUGCCACUCCCCAUUUUUAACCUACUGGGGAGAGAACGGGAGGCAAAACUACAAACCUGAAAAUAAAGUGGCUAAGUGGCUUCUCAAACUCUUUCCAAGUCUCUAAACACCGCUGAGUCUGGAUUGUCACUGUGCUCUACAGAGGAAACGAAGACCAAGAAUUAAGCAGCUCGAUUUUCCAGUGCAGACUGUUUGACCUUUGUGACUAGUAAACCACUCCUUUUAUUAAGGCCAAAUCUGCAAAAUCUGUCUUAAAGAAAAUGGUCAGUCUUUCCUUUCUUCUAAACAUCUCUGAUUUUUUCAUCUUGUUUCCUGACUAUUCACAGACAGCAACAAUAACAGAUUCUGGAAAGAAGGAUUUGUAAUGAGGAAAUCAAGGCAGUGAGAUAAAGCAACUUGCCUGAGGUCACCCAGUUGGCAAGCUGGGGCACAGAUUUUCAGAGGUUUCUGGGAUUCCAAACCCUGUGCUCUCGGGCAUUUGUCUGAGAAAACUCUCAGGUAACACACUCUUCCCCUUCCAGUAUGUGUAUAUAGAUAUAUUUUUUUCUUCCCUUUCCAGUUUUGAGGAAAUCCCUUGACUAACACCCUCUUUCCUUCAGCUGUUAUCUUGUGGUACAUGGUGCCAAGUGCCCUCCUCAUUCCCAUCAUCUGCUCCAGAGGGUUUUUUGUCAAAAUCCCCAGAAGAUACAGAAUACAGUGAUGAUCAAGCUAGCCUUUUCCUCAUUGCCACCCCCCACAAAAAAUCCUGGUGGCCUUCACUCCCCAAGCCCCAGGGCAAUUAAUACUGUCUUCUACCAUUGCCACAGGCUGACUUGCCCAACUGGUAGGGCUGAUUCUAUCAGAUUCCUUAUCCAUACUUUGUUGUUGGAGGAUUUGUCUCAAGGCACCUGGCAAGACCCACAGGAAAUGACACCUGAGAUGUCAGUGGCUCUGCCCAGGAGGCCUCAGGCUCACCUGCCAGCUCCCUAAAGACAGGAUGCAAAGACACAUGGCAACUGUGGGAUACCUCUGGGUAUCCACCUGGCCCAGAGCCAUGAAUUAGGCACCCUGAAGAAAAUGCUAAACACCACAUGACCCUAACCAAGAUGCAACUGAGAUCAGAGCAUCUUCCCAAGCCGGUGUGACUGCUUUUGCCUGGCACCUCCCAUGUGGUCAGGCCUGGAGAGAUGGGGAGCCUAAGGAUAAGGAGCUGAAUCCUGGCUCUGCCAACUUCAACACGACCUGGAAUAAGUUACUGGGCUUUUUAUAUUUUUAUCUGCCAAAGGCCUCAAUUCUUUAUAUAAAAAACGAGGCCACGAGCAACAAUAUAUGUGAUAAGACUGAGUGAUCUGCAAAGGCAGGCUAAGACUGACUUCCCAGACACAGCCACUGAGCAACUGGUGACUGUGCGGGGGGGUUCCUGAACCUCUCUGGGGCUCAUGGGUUCAGGCUGAGAAAGUGUCUCCAUUCAGUGUCGCCCAGAGUUGAUCUGAAAAGUAGGCCAGAGUGGGCAGGGAAAUUAAGAAAAGCAUGAACCUCUGAAAACCUGCCCGGUCCGUGAGGAAAUAACCGGGUCCACUCCCUUGUCCAGAGCCUCCCCACCGCCCUCCUUCAGGCCAGCUCCGCGGGCAGGGCAGCCAGGAGGAAGGCUCAGGGACUAGGCGUCUCAGUUCCCGCUGGCCACCAACUCCCCCAUCCCCUGCCCCCUCUCUGGUUCUGUUUCUCUGUGUACGCAGGGAAGGUGUGGGCUUGUCGCCCCUGGAGGCCUUCCAGCUCCGACGUUUUGAAGCCUGGCUCCCAGAUUAAACUCCCUUCGGAUCCCAUUUUCUGAAGGGUCGCAAAAGCUGGGGGCUGGGUGGGGUAAGCUAGGGGACAACAGCGGCUCCGGCCGCCGCCUGAGCCCUUCAAGAUCAGCAUCCGGUCAAGCGGCUGUGCAGCCGAGAAGCAACCCGGGACUGCAAGUCUGCGUGGCGGGG
This 2849-nucleotide long non-coding RNA is filed under the name Homo sapiens (human). RNAcentral describes it as "HSALNT0330312". The record is from RNAcentral. Lineage: Eukaryota; Metazoa; Chordata; Mammalia; Primates; Hominidae.